CCCAUGAUGGUGAACUUCACUGCACUUGACCCAAGCUGAUGAGCACGCCCCAACUGA
RNAcentral lists this small nucleolar RNA (57 nucleotides) under Euglena gracilis. RNAcentral's name for it is "Eg-m147 box C/D methylation-guide". Lineage: Eukaryota; Euglenozoa; Euglenophyceae; Euglenales; Euglenaceae. The record is from RNAcentral.